UGGAUGGUGGUAGAGCCGAGAUCUGGGGAAGCGUCCGCUGGAACCGAGGCGCGGGCUCCUAAAAGAGUUUGCGCCAAAGCCAACACUUCUAAAACAAAACCAGAAACAAGGCGGAAAACAGCAGACUGGAUUGCGAAGUCAGCAGCUUAUGGCGCCACUUUGGCAUCGGCAGCUUUCGGCAUUCAGAACCUUGGCACUUGGAUUUGGUGGUAA
This 213-nucleotide long non-coding RNA is filed under the name Mus spicilegus (steppe mouse). RNAcentral's name for it is "lncRNA (ENSMSIG00000006370.1)". Lineage: Eukaryota; Metazoa; Chordata; Mammalia; Rodentia; Muridae. The record is from RNAcentral.